This 454-nucleotide ribosomal RNA is filed under the name Bacillus sp. (in: firmicutes). RNAcentral describes it as "bacterial SSU rRNA". It matches the Rfam family "Bacterial small subunit ribosomal RNA", at positions 65 to 513 of the family's 1533-position model. The record is from RNAcentral. Lineage: Bacteria; Bacillati; Bacillota; Bacilli; Caryophanales; Bacillaceae.
AGCUUGCUUUUCAAAACUUAGCGGCGGACGGGUGAGUAACACGUGGGCAACCUGCCCUUGAGACGGGGAUAACUCCGGGAAACCGGAGCUAAUACCGGAUAACACAUAUCUUCGCAUGAGGAUAUGUUAGAAGGUGGCUUUUAGCUACCACUCAAGGAUGGGCCCGCGGCGCAUUAGCUAGUUGGUGAGGUAACGGCUCACCAAGGCGACGAUGCGUAGCCGACCUGAGAGGGUGAUCGGCCACACUGGGACUGAGACACGGCCCAGACUCCUACGGGAGGCAGCAGUAGGGAAUCUUCCGCAAUGGACGAAAGUCUGACGGAGCAACGCCGCGUGAGUGAUGAAGGUUUUCGGAUCGUAAAGCUCUGUUGUUAGGGAAGAACAAGUAUCUGUUGAAUAAGCAGGUACCUUGACGGUACCUAACCAGAAAGCCACGGCUAACUACGUGCCAGCC